AUUGAACGCUGGCGGCAGGCCUAACACAUGCAAGUCGAGCGGAUGAAGGGAGCUUGCUCCUGGAUUCAGCGGCGGACGGGUGAGUAAUGCCUAGGAAUCUGCCUGGUAGUGGGGAUAACGUCCGGAAAAGGGCGCUAAUAACGCCUACGUCCUUGGGGGGGAAGGGGGGGAUCUUCGGGACCCACGCCUUCCAGAGGACCUAGGUCGGAUUAGCUAGUUGGUGGGGUAAAGGCCUACCAAGGCGACGAUCCGUAACUGGUCUGAGAGGAUGAUCAGUCACACUGGAACUGAGACACGGUCCAGACUCCUACGGGAGGCAGCAGUGGGGAAUAUUGGACAAUGGGCGAAAGCCUGAUCCAGCCAUGCCGCGUGUGUGAAGAAGGUCUUCGGAUUGUAAAGCACUUUAAGUUGGGAGGAAGGGCAGUAAGUUAAUACCUUGCUGUUUUGACGUUACCAACAGAAUAAGCACCGGCUAACUUCGUG
RNAcentral lists this ribosomal RNA (483 nucleotides) under uncultured bacterium. RNAcentral describes it as "partial 16S ribosomal RNA". It matches the Rfam family "Bacterial small subunit ribosomal RNA", at positions 30 to 507 of the family's 1533-position model. The record is from RNAcentral.